AGUGAAUAGAUACCCGGGUAGUCCUGGCCGUAAACGAUGAGGACUAGGUGUUGGAUAACUUUUAGUUAUUCGGUGCCGCCGCUAAACGCAUUAAGUCCUCCACCUGGGGAGUACGGUCGCAAGACUGAAACUCAAAGAAAUUGACGGGGACCCGCACAAAUGGUGGAGCAUGUGGUUUAAUACGACGAUACGCGUGGAACCUUACCAAGGCUUGACAUGUAUUUGACAGCCGAUGAAAGUCGGUCUUCCUUUACCGGACAGAUACACAGGUGUUGCAUGGCUGUCGUCAGCUCGUGUCGUGAGAUGUUGGGUUAAGUCCCGCAACGAGCGCAACCCUUGCCCUUUGUUGCUAAUUCACGAGAGUGAAUGCACUCUAAGGGGACCGCUGUAGAUAAUACAGAGGAAGAUGAGGAUGACGUCAAGUCAGUACGGCCCUUACGCCUUGGGCUACACACGUGCUACAAUGCGCGGCACAAUGGGCUGCAAACCCGGCGAGGGGGUAG
Molecule: ribosomal RNA, 503 nt
Filed under: uncultured bacterium
Lineage: Bacteria
Description: bacterial SSU rRNA
Rfam family: Bacterial small subunit ribosomal RNA
Source: RNAcentral